AAGCAGUGGAAUCAACGCUGUGUAAAAGCAAAUUGGUGGGUAUCUUUCAACAAACAAGGAUGGUCAACUUGUGACAAAACAAACCAGUUUAUCACUGGCUUAUAUCUCAGUGCAUUAAGUGCCAACAAUGAUGGACUUUACCGUCUUGAAGAAGCCAAAUGCUGCAAAUCUAGUCCAAUAUAUAUUUGGCAGAAAAGUAUUUGCCGAAAUGCUAACUGGCGGGACUCUUUGAAAAAAAAAGGAUGGAGUGCUUGUUCGAUUGGAUAUUUUCUAAAUGGUCUCUAUUGCACAAACGGACAACACUUACACAACCUCAAAGAGGGAAAAUGUUGCAAACCAGUCAAUCAUCCCGACAAGUAUGGUGAUUGUUACUAUGAAAAUAU
Xenia sp. Carnegie-2017 is the source of this 383-nucleotide long non-coding RNA. RefSeq lists it as uncharacterized. The transcript is spliced from 4 exons. Lineage: Eukaryota; Metazoa; Cnidaria; Anthozoa; Malacalcyonacea; Xeniidae. The record is from RefSeq and is a predicted model, not a curated record.